UCCGUAGACUGUAUUGUAAGUUAUUUGUUAAAUCCUAAAGCCUAACUUUAGAAAAGCGUUUAAUACUACUAUACUUGAGUUUUUUGCAGAAGAGUAGAAUUUCAUGUCGAGGAGUAACGACUGCAGACACAUGAAGGAAUAUCAGCAGCGAAGGCGGCUCUUUGGUAAAAACUGACGUUGAGGGACGAAAGUGUAGGUAGCAAACA
RNAcentral lists this ribosomal RNA (206 nucleotides) under uncultured bacterium. Its description in RNAcentral is "partial 16S ribosomal RNA". It matches the Rfam family "Bacterial small subunit ribosomal RNA", at positions 568 to 774 of the family's 1533-position model. The record is from RNAcentral.